AAAAACGACUCUCGGCAACGGAUAUCUCGGCUCACGCAUCGAUGAAGAACGUAGCAAAAUGCGAUACUUGGUGUGAAUUGCAGAAUCCCGUGAAUCAUCGAGUUUUUGAACGCAAGUUGCGCCCAAAACCAUCCGGUUGAGGGCACGCCUGCCUGGGCGUC
This 161-nucleotide ribosomal RNA is filed under the name Crepidiastrum ameristophyllum. RNAcentral's name for it is "5.8S rRNA". It matches the Rfam family "5.8S ribosomal RNA". From Rfam's summary of the family: 5.8S ribosomal RNA (5.8S rRNA) is a component of the large subunit of the eukaryotic ribosome. It is transcribed by RNA polymerase I as part of the 45S precursor that also contains 18S and 28S rRNA. The record is from RNAcentral. Lineage: Eukaryota; Viridiplantae; Streptophyta; Magnoliopsida; Asterales; Asteraceae. RNAcentral also lists the same sequence under 8 other names.